Long non-coding RNA from Nyctereutes procyonoides (raccoon dog), 1448 nucleotides. RefSeq lists it as uncharacterized. NCBI's taxonomy places the organism in Eukaryota, Metazoa, Chordata, Mammalia, Carnivora, Canidae. The transcript has 3 exons. The record is from RefSeq and is a predicted model, not a curated record.
CCUUCCGCGCCCGAGCGCGCGCGGGCCGCGCCCCCGCACCCGAGCGCAGCCCCGGAAAGCGGCCGGAGGGGACCUUUCGGCCGCGGUGUCAGUCCCUCCCGGAGUGGAUGUGACAGCGGCGGCAGCUCCGGCCACAGCUUCUACGCAGUGGGUGAUGCUUCGUCUCGCCCCUGUACCCUCUAGAUGCAUUCCUAAUCACAUCCUCUGAGACCCUGCUGGAGGACCUGCACAGUGGACCAAAAGAGCUGGAAAGAGAAGAGAAAAAGACAAGGAAAGAACAGAGUGAAAAUAAGGAGGAGAUCAAAAGAGAAAAAAAAAAAAAAGAAUGUGAAGAGAGUGAAAGAGGGAGCUAGAACAAAUGACCAAGACUUAUAAGAAAAAGACUGAGGCUUAUGAUGUAGGGAUCACUGAUCAGAGAAAAGGCUUAAAUCACAAGAGACAGGAAGAAGUGCACUUAGCGGGAAGCAGAAAAGCACCAAGAUUAUUUGCCUCAGUUUCUGCUCAAAGAGACUGUUGUAAGUAGCUACCUGUCCCUUGGUGUAGGCAUUUAAUUUUCAAAUUCCCUGUCACUCUCACUGAAGUCAUAACAAAAAGUAAGGAACUAGGUGGAGGGCCAUGAAACUUUUAAUUGAGGUUAAUGUUCAUCUAAUAGAUGUGGUCUCUCCAGAAUUAGAGUAAAGGUGAUGUUGUCAUCCCUGCCUCUCAUGGUAGUGGACAGGAAGACUUCUGGGGGGGGGGGGGGACACUGAUACCAUUACUCUGAGAAAAAUGCUUUUGAUCUUGGUAAGAUUUUCGAAAUCCUAGCUCAUUUCUUGUUUUCUAUUUGAUCUCUGCAGUGGAUAUCAAGCUUGGUGUUUUUCCCUGUGGUUAGCCAAGAUUCUCAUAGAUAUUUUCCUCCCUUUUGAAGACUGGAAAUUAUAAAAAGCUGUCUGCAACAGCUGCUUUGAGGUCAUCUACGUUUGCUGACUGCAGGUGGAAAUCUCUUUCACAGAGCCCUAAAUGGAAGGUGGUAAAAUUUGGCUUUGAGGGAGCUGGACUCUACUAGCCUUUUGUAUAAUUUAUCAUCCACAAAGUGUGUUAAGGUGCUUUUGAUCUUUGGAAACAAUAUCUUUCAAAGUGAAGGUGUUGCUUAUAUGUGACCGUUAGUCCUCUAUAGGUAUCUCAGUAUCAUGCUGAUUUCAAUGAGUGAAUGAAUUUUUAAGAUGGUAUAAUGAUGACUCAAUUUAAUAGAGAGACUCUAGAUCCCGUUGAAAUCCAGUUGGGAGGAUCAAAUGAGAGGAGGUAUGUGAAUAGUGCUUUGAAACCAUAAAGCACUAAGUAACCAUAAGUCAUUUUAUUAUGAUAAUUUCCAUCAUAUUUAUUAAAUUUUUGGUUUCACUGAACAUUAAAAAUUCUUUGCUUUCUGCAAUAUUAAGAAUGGAUUUCUGCCAAAUAGUAACCAUAAGAAG